Gymnopus androsaceus JB14 is the source of this 87-nucleotide non-coding RNA. NCBI's taxonomy places the organism in Eukaryota, Fungi, Basidiomycota, Agaricomycetes, Agaricales, Omphalotaceae. The record is from the annotation of a GenBank genome assembly.
GGGCACAUGGUGUAGUUGGUUAUCACAUCCGCUUAGCAAAUGUAGCUUUAAUGCGGGGGGUGCUGGGUUCAAUUCCCAGUGUGUCCA